GCAUAAUCAUUUGCCUUCUAAUUAAAGGAUAGUAUGAAAGGAAGAACGAAAUUUUAACUUUAUUAUUUAUAAUUUUUAAAAAUUAAAUUUCAGGUGAAGAUGCCUGAAUAUUUUUGAAAGACAAGAAGACCCUUUAGAGUUUAAGUAAUAAAUAAUGUACAAAUUAAUAUAUAACUUUUGUUGGGGCGACAAAGGAUUAUCAAAACCAUCCUUUUUUUUAAAGAAACCUUAUUCAUAAAACAAAGAUCCUUCCUAAAGAUCAAAAGAAAAAACUACCUAAGGGAUAACAGGCUAAUCUUCUUAGAGAGUUCAUAUCGACAAGAAGGUUUGGCACCUCGAUGUUGGCUUAGAGACCCUCCUAAUUGUAACAGAUUAGAUAGGUAGUUUGUUCAACUAUUAAUACUCU
This 406-nucleotide ribosomal RNA is filed under the name Macellicephala sp. 437 PB. RNAcentral's name for it is "partial 16S ribosomal RNA". The stretch from base 87 to 406 matches the Rfam family "Bacterial large subunit ribosomal RNA", at positions 2046 to 2597 of the family's 2925-position model. The record is from RNAcentral. Lineage: Eukaryota; Metazoa; Annelida; Polychaeta; Phyllodocida; Polynoidae.